UACCCCGUGGUGUAACGGUAGCACUAGAGAUUUUGACUCUCUCAGUUCAGGUUCGAAUCCUGACGGGGUAACCA
This 74-nucleotide transfer RNA is filed under the name Planctomycetota bacterium. RNAcentral describes it as "Planctomycetes bacterium (soil metagenome) tRNA-Gln". It matches the Rfam family "tRNA". From Rfam's summary of the family: Transfer RNA (tRNA) molecules are approximately 80 nucleotides in length. Their secondary structure includes four short double-helical elements and three loops (D, anti-codon, and T loops). The record is from RNAcentral. Lineage: Bacteria; Pseudomonadati; Planctomycetota.